CUAUUAUAAACUAUUUUAUUAAAUAUUAGUAAUAAAUACAUACAUUUUUGUUUGUAAAGGAUAAAAGGAUACAAAUGUGACAACUAAGAUAUCUCAAAUAUAUUGGCACCUCAAAGAAGCCACAUAAGAAGUAUCUUAAUGAAAAAUAUUAAAUAUAAGGCAUAAAAUAAGGAUACAAAGAAAUUUGGGGGACUAGACCAAAACCAAAUGUGUAAGAAUCCCUCUGCCUCAUUAAAAACCUUAUCAAGGGAAAAAGAGUGCAGAGAUCCUACUUAUUUUAAGAUAAACUUAUAGAAACACAUAUUGGUACAUGUUUGGACAGGCAGUGAGUUUGGUUGAAUCAUGGUAUACCAAUGUGGUUUUGGCAAAACAACACUUUGGAACUUCAACAAAAUCACUAUGCAACCAUCCUUUCGCCAAACUCACCGCCAAUACAUCCAUAUACUACUUAGAAACAACACUAGGAGGAGGUUUAAAUUCAAAUUUCAAGUUAUUGAAGGUUUAUAUACAAAGCCAUUCAAUGAAGUGGCCCUUAGGCUAUCAUUUACUGAAGCCAAUUUAAGUUAACAUCAACAUGAGGAACCUCUAUCUUCAUAUUGGGAAGCAUAUCUUGGAAAGCUUCCCAUGAAGCAGCCGUCUCUUCAUCGCACGUUAUCACCUUCAAAUUCGUAAGAUUGACGAC
This 682-nucleotide long non-coding RNA is filed under the name Trifolium pratense (red clover). RNAcentral describes it as "long non-coding RNA (TPRA_LNC010325)". The record is from RNAcentral. Lineage: Eukaryota; Viridiplantae; Streptophyta; Magnoliopsida; Fabales; Fabaceae.